UAGGGAAUCUUCGGCAAUGGACGAAAGUCUGACCGAGCAACGCCGCGUGAGUGAAGAAGGUUUUCGGAUCGUAAAACUCUGUUGGUAGAGAAGAACGUUGGUGAGAGUGGAAAGCUCAUCAAGUGACGGUAACUACCCAGAAAGGGACGGCUAACUACGUGCCAGCAGCCGCGGUAAUACGUAGGUCCCGAGCGUUGUCCGGAUUUAUUGGGCGUAAAGCGAGCGCAGGUGGUUUAUUAAGUCUGGUGUAAAAGGCAGUGGCUCAACCAUUGUAUGCAUUGGAAACUGGUAGACUUGAGUGCAGGAGAGGAGAGUGGAAUUCCAUGUGUAGCGGUGAAAUGCGUAGAUAUAUGGAGGAACACCGGUGGCGAAAGCGGCUCUCUGGCCUGUAACUGACACUGAGGCUCGAAAGCGUGGGGAGCAAAC
This 426-nucleotide ribosomal RNA is filed under the name uncultured bacterium. RNAcentral describes it as "bacterial SSU rRNA". It matches the Rfam family "Bacterial small subunit ribosomal RNA", at positions 355 to 773 of the family's 1533-position model. The record is from RNAcentral.